RNAcentral lists this ribosomal RNA (208 nucleotides) under uncultured bacterium. Its description in RNAcentral is "partial 16S ribosomal RNA". It matches the Rfam family "Bacterial small subunit ribosomal RNA", at positions 338 to 536 of the family's 1533-position model. The record is from RNAcentral.
CCUACGGGAGGCAGCAGUAGGGAAUCUUCGGCAAUGGGGGCAACCCUGACCGAGCAACGCCGCGUGAGUGAAGAAGGUUUUCGGAUCGUAAAGCUCUGUUGUAAGAGAAGAACGUGUGUGAGAGUGGAAAGUUCACACAGUGACGGUAACUUACCAGAAAGGGACGGCUAACUACGUGCCAGCAGCCGCGGUAAUACGUAGGUCCCGU